This 726-nucleotide ribosomal RNA is filed under the name Paenibacillus sp. RNAcentral describes it as "bacterial SSU rRNA". It matches the Rfam family "Bacterial small subunit ribosomal RNA", at positions 61 to 777 of the family's 1533-position model. Lineage: Bacteria; Bacillati; Bacillota; Bacilli; Caryophanales; Paenibacillaceae. The record is from RNAcentral.
GUCGAGCGGAGUUAUCCCUUCGGGGAUGACUUAGCGGCGGACGGGUGAGUAACACGUAGGCAACCUGCCCGUAAGACCGGGAUAACUCACGGAAACGUGAGCUAAUACCGGAUAAUUGGUACCUUCGCAUGAAGGGAUCAUGAAAGAUGCUUCGGCAUCACUUACGGAUGGGCCUGCGGCGCAUUAGCUAGUUGGCGGGGUAACGGCCCACCAAGGCGACGAUGCGUAGCCGACCUGAGAGGGUGAUCGGCCACACUGGGACUGAGACACGGCCCAGACUCCUACGGGAGGCAGCAGUAGGGAAUCUUCGGCAAUGGGCGAAAGCCUGACCGAGCAACGCCGCGUGAGUGAGGAAGGUCUUCGGAUCGUAAAGCUCUGUUGCCAGGGAAGAACGCUUUCGGGAGGGAAUGCCCGGAAGGUGACGGUACCUGAGAAGAAAGCCCCGGCUAACUACGUGCCAGCAGCCGCGGUAAUACGUAGGGGGCAAGCGUUGUCCGGAAUUAUUGGGCGUAAAGCGCGCGCAGGCGGUCCUUUAAGUCUUGUGUUUAAUCCCGGAGCUCAACUCUGGUACGCAUGGGAAACUGGGGGACUGGAGUGCAGGAGAGGAAAGUGGAAUUCCACGUGUAGCGGUGAAAUGCGUAGAGAUGUGGAGGAACACCAGUGGCGAAGGCGACUUUCUGGCCUGUAACUGACGCUGAGGCGCGAAAGCGUGGGGAGCAAACAGGA